GGACUACUCGGGUUUCUAAUCCUGUUUGCUCCCCACGCUUUCGAGCCUCAGCGUCAGUAAUGGGCCAGUUAGCCGCCUUCGCCACUGGUGUUCUUCCGAAUAUCUACGAAUUUCACCUCUACACUCGGAGUUCCGCUAACCUCUCCCAUACUCAAGACAGCCAGUAUCAAAGGCAAUUCCAAGGUUGAGCCCUGGGCUUUCACCUCUGACUGAACUAUCCGCCUACGCUCCCUUUACGCCCAGUAAUUCCGAGCAACGCUAGCCCCCUUCGUAUUACCGCGGCGGCUGGCAC
This 292-nucleotide ribosomal RNA is filed under the name uncultured Alphaproteobacteria bacterium. Its description in RNAcentral is "partial 16S ribosomal RNA". The record is from RNAcentral. Lineage: Bacteria; Pseudomonadati; Pseudomonadota; Alphaproteobacteria.